This 1413-nucleotide long non-coding RNA is filed under the name Homo sapiens (human). Its description in RNAcentral is "HSALNT0390380". The record is from RNAcentral. Lineage: Eukaryota; Metazoa; Chordata; Mammalia; Primates; Hominidae.
CCCAGCACAGACCCAGGACCUGGUGUGCAUGGGGGAUGGAAGUAUGGGGAAGGCUGCUCCAGACUUGCGAAGGUGUCAGAGCCAGGCCUGGGCUCGCCCAGUGGCCUCCGCACCAACUUCACCACAAGGCAGCUGACAGAACUGGAAAAGGAGUUCCAUUUCAACAAGUACCUGAGCCGGGCCCGGAGGGUGGAGAUUGCCGCCACCCUGGAGCUCAAUGAAACACAGGUCAAGAUUUGGUUCCAGAACCGACGAAUGAAGCAGAAGAAGCGCGAGCGAGAGGAAGGUCGGGUCCCCCCAGCCCCACCAGGCUGCCCCAAGGAGGCAGCUGGAGAUGCCUCAGACCAGUCGACAUGCACCUCCCCGGAAGCCUCACCCAGCUCUGUCACCUCCUGAACUGAACCUAGCCACCAAUGGGGCUUCCAGGCACUGGAGCGCCCCAGUCCAGCCCUAUCCCAGGCUCUCCCCAACCCCAGGCCUGGGCUUCACUGGCCUGGGGAUCCUCUCUAGGGCUGAAAUGCCAGUUUAGAGCUGCCUGGGGGUGGGAGGGGGGAUGGGGAAACAUUUUUCUCAGACCUGGGUGGCUGGGGGCCCUACAGGACCAGAGGCCUGGGAGGCAUGGAACCUGUCAAAUGUAGAGGGAAGGGCUUCUGCCUUUGAUCUGGGGAUCAGCUCAGUGUCAACAUGUGGUGGGGGUGGGGGCCAGCCUCAUCCUCCUGGAUUCAUCCUCCUUUCCCUUCCAACUUGGGUUUAUUCGGUUCAGUGCCUUCGAGCUUUGAGGAGUCUCCUCACGCACUCUUAUCCUAACUCCCCCUUCUAGGCCUGACACAGAACCUUAAAUUUUCUUGUGUGGGAGGUGUUUGGGUGCAGCCAUAUUAUUAUCAAUGCUUAAUCCAGUCACCACAGACCUUACAAUAGCACCAGCUGCCUUGUGACAGACCAAAAAGCCCCCCGCCCCCAUCUAACCCCAUUAGCCCUCUCCUGGCAUAUUUAUAUUGCACUAAUGCAGCCUUCAGAGGUUGUUUUCUGAGACCUGCCUCCUCACACCAGCGACCUCAUCACUAUGUCACCAAAGUGUUUUGGAACUUGGUAUUCCAGAGACUUCUGGAACGCCGUGCAAGGCCUGCCCCCAGCAAGCCACAACCAGGAAGGUGCAGGCACGCCCCCACUAGCUCCUCCCCUAUUUAUUGCCUCCUGGAAAACCCAGGACCCUCUUCCCCAUCUCCACCCCUACCCCUGGGGGCAGCCCAGGGAGAGCCAGGCACAAUGAGGGCUCCCAACAGCUGCAAGGAUUUAUCUGAACCUUUGAGAAAGAGGAGGAGCCAUCUAAGUUUCUGGAAACCUGAGCCCCAAGUGAGCCCGGGUUCUCUCUGUACCUGCAACUACCUCAUUUCAAUAAAGUCUGUGUUUUCC